Long non-coding RNA from Daphnia magna, 727 nucleotides. RefSeq lists it as uncharacterized. The record is from RefSeq and is a predicted model, not a curated record. The transcript has 2 exons. Lineage: Eukaryota; Metazoa; Arthropoda; Branchiopoda; Diplostraca; Daphniidae.
UAUUAAAAAGUCCUAUACCGACAGGGUAAUAUAGCAAUCCAGCAGCCUCGCAGCUCCAUCGACUUCCGAGAAGAUUCGGGAAUAUUUACAGUACGCACAUAAGCAACGCCAAAAGCGAAAUGAUCCGUUAAAAAAACAAACAUGGAAAACUAUCGGAUAAGAGCGAGAAGAAGAAAGAGAGCGAAAGAGGAAUAGAGAGAGAGAGAGAGAGAUUGAAGAAACCUUUUUAGCUAAUGCUGGUUGUGUGUGAAUGCAGCGAAAAUGGGAAAGAGACUCAACGACGUUCUUUUGCUUCCGGAGAAACCAUCGACGCAGUCACUUCUUUUCCUGUUUUCCCUCCAUCUUCAUAGAAAGCCAAGGGCCGGCUGUGUUUCUUUCGAAACGGGCACGUUUCAUUGCACAACAAACGGAGAUCAGUUCAUCUUCGAAGUGUUGACUACUCGAGCAAGAAUCUUGAUACGCCACCGCAACAUGAAAAUGGACGAAUAGAUUUACAUAUUCCACCCACGAUUUGUGAUCCUCGAGCGGCUAAAGUUUCAACUACGGUGGAUCCAGCGACCUGCCUCUCUUUGCUAUCUGGUCUGUCGUGAUAAUACGAUGCCAUACACAUUUCACAAGACGUUUUGUUUUGCGUUAAAAGGACAACAGUUUAGUUACCAAAAUGUACACGUUGCUGUCGUGUCAAGUUACACGCCUGUUAAGACAAUAUAAAUGCUGGGGAACGUAA